GACGAACGCUGGCGGCGUGCCUAAUACAUGCAAGUCGAACGCUUCUUUCCUCCCGAGUGCUUGCACUCAAUUGGAAAGAGGAGUGGCGGACGGGUGAGUAACACGUGGGUAACCUACCCAUCAGAGGGGGAUAACACUUGGAAACAGGUGCUAAUACCGCAUAACAGUUUAUGCCGCAUGGCAUAAGAGUGAAAGGCGCUUUCGGGUGUCGCUGAUGGAUGGGCCCGCGGUGCAUUAGCUAGUUGGUGAGGUAACGGCUCACCAAGGCCACGAUGCAUAGCCGACCUGAGAGGGUGAUCGGCCACACUGGGACUGAGACACGGCCCAGACUCCUACGGGAGGCAGCAGUAGGGAAUCAUCGGCAAUGGACGAAAGUCUGACCGAGCAACGCCGCGUGAGUGAAGAAGGUUUUCGGAUCGUAAAACUCUGUUGUUAGAGAAGAACAAGGACGUUAGUAACUGAACGUCCCCUGACGGUAUCUAACCAGAAAGCCACGGCUAACUACGUG
Molecule: ribosomal RNA, 508 nt
Filed under: uncultured bacterium
Lineage: Bacteria
Description: partial 16S ribosomal RNA
Rfam family: Bacterial small subunit ribosomal RNA
Source: RNAcentral